Ictidomys tridecemlineatus (thirteen-lined ground squirrel) is the source of this 909-nucleotide non-coding RNA. Lineage: Eukaryota; Metazoa; Chordata; Mammalia; Rodentia; Sciuridae. The record is from RefSeq and is a predicted model, not a curated record.
CCCUAAGGUAGCAAGGAAGACUAUGUCACAAUGGGAGAGAAAGGCCCCCAGAACCUCCAAACGCCAUAAGAGGAAGCUGUAGAUUGUCUACUCUUUCUCAAGGGCAAAACCAUAUUUAACCCUUUUGCCAGCACCUCUGGUGUGUCUCUCUCUUCAAAGAAAUCUCCAACAGGCAUCCGGGGACUGAAGCUGAAGUGCUCCCGGCGGACACUGUGUACCACGUUUCGGCUCAGGUAAUAGAAGCUGGCUAUCCUCUGCUUAGGUGAAUGUCAAGCCUACCUGGUGCCAGAGAGUCAAAGGGCUCAAGAGAAUCUUCACUGAGGAUUGGAGUGUCUUCCAGUUGAUCAGGAAGAUGUGAAGGAUCAUCUAAACAGCUCACUGUGGGGUCAGGAACCAGGACUGAGACCUCUUGGUGUAAUGACUCCACAGAAGAAACAGAGCCAUUAUAGCCACACAUCUUUAGUUCUAGGGAAUAUCAGGAAAGAGCAAAAGUCAAAAUCAAUGCCUUCUAUUGGUUCAUUUAGCUACAGCAGGUAAUUAGUUUUUGAUAAAAGGAUAGUCAAUUCAUUCAACAUUUAUUGCUACUAGGGUGCCAGUUCUAUGUUGGGAACCUAUCUUAUCAAGACACUCUAAAUAAGCAGAGAUAUGCUGGUAAAAAUCAAUCCUAUGGCGAGCAAAGAGAGGGGAAAGGAGAUUGGGGUCUGAGAUAAAAACCCCACCAUGUUCUUCGAUGUUUUCCCUGAUGAGUGGGAACACAGAAAUAUUCUAUGAUUGUAUAAGGUGGUCACCCUUGUACUGAGAAUUAAAAGCAAGCUAAGCUUUUAGCUAUUUUGAGGGAAACAAUGAAAGAGGUUGUCACAUGUACCAAUGCCAACAACAAAAAGGAAACUGGGUAAACAAGCAAUGGUA